Molecule: ribosomal RNA, 755 nt
Filed under: uncultured bacterium
Lineage: Bacteria
Description: bacterial SSU rRNA
Rfam family: Bacterial small subunit ribosomal RNA
Source: RNAcentral
AUUGAACGCUGGCGGCAGGCUUAACACAUGCAAGUCGAGCGGAAACGAUGAUAGCUUGCUAUCAGGCGUCGAGCGGCGGACGGGUGAGUAAUACUUAGGAAUCUACCUAGUAGUGGGGGAUAGCACGGGGAAACUCGUAUUAAUACCGCAUACGACCUACGGGAGAAAGGGGGCAGUUUACUGCUCUCGCUAUUAGAUGAGCCUAAGUCGGAUUAGCUAGAUGGUGGGGUAAAGGCCUACCAUGGCGACGAUCUGUAGCUGGUCUGAGAGGAUGAUCAGCCACACCGGGACUGAGACACGGCCCGGACUCCUACGGGAGGCAGCAGUGGGGAAUAUUGGACAAUGGGGGAAACCCUGAUCCAGCCAUGCCGCGUGUGUGAAGAAGGCCUUUUGGUUGUAAAGCACUUUAAGCAGUGAAGAAGACUCCGUGGUUAAUACCCACGGACGAUGACAUUAGCUGCAGAGUAAGCACCGGCUAACUCUGUGCCAGCAGCCGCGGUAAUACAGAGGGUGCAAGCGUUAAUCGGAAUUACUGGGCGUAAAGGGAGCGUAGGUGGCUCUAUAAGUCAGAUGUGAAAUCCCCGGGCUUAACCUGGGAACUGCAUCUGAAACUGUAGAGCUAGAGUAUGUGAGAGGAAGGUAGAAUUCCAGGUGUAGCGGUGAAAUGCGUAGAGAUCUGGAGGAAUACCGAUGGCGAAGGCAGCCUUCUGGCAUAAUACUGACACUGAGGCUCGAAAGCGUGGGUAGCAAACAGG